Sus scrofa (pig) is the source of this 841-nucleotide non-coding RNA. Lineage: Eukaryota; Metazoa; Chordata; Mammalia; Artiodactyla; Suidae. The record is from RefSeq and is a predicted model, not a curated record.
UUUUCUGCUGGGCUUGCUAAGUCAACAGAGCCUCGUCCAUAGGUGCUGGUGACCAUCCUUGUCCGCUCAAGCACAGAGCUUGCCUGAGAAUGAAGAUCAAAGCAAAAGAAAGCCAAGAGUCAAACAAUGUAGAAAAAGAGAGUUUGAGUGACACCAUUUGAACAUCUGAAUCUAGUUAUGUGAAUCACCCACAGCUGGUGUAUUCCUUGAAUGAGAGCCUGAUGUUACCAUGCGGAGUGAAGCGUGAUUUGCUGCCUGCUCUCAAUGUGUGCAGUCCUGCCUCGUGGACACCUCAAAGUCUCCUUGCAGGGACGGUCCAGAGAAGGCUGCACCUCUCCACGCAGAGUCUAUGGAAAUGACGUCAUUCUCAGAGCAUGUCAUCCGGAGGUACGGAUGUCCGUUUGAGCAUUUUGUCAAGGUUUUUAGAAGUUCCUUAUGUAAUUAGAGACAGUCAUCCUUUAGCAUUCAGUCAAGCGAAUCAAGCUUUUCAUCUAUUGCAUGAAAUCAUCUGGAUUUUCAGACACAGUUUUAAAGGCUUCAAGUUCCCUGGUGGCUCAGCAGGUUAAGGAUCUGGUGUUGUCAUGGCUGUGGUGUGAGUUCAAUCCCUGGCCCUGUGACUUUCACAUGCCAAAGAGGAGCACCCCCCCCAAAAAAAAACCACCUUUCCCUACAUCCAAAUUAUGGAAGAAUUCACCUUAUAUCUACUCACCUGGUUUCAUAUUUUAUGAAAGUUUACAACUCUGAUCCAUUUGGAAUUUUGUCUUAAGUGUGGAAUUAGGAAUUAGUCAAAUUUUGUUGUUUUUCCCCAAAUGGUUUCUGGUGGUCCCAACACUAUUAAAAA